RNAcentral lists this transfer RNA (71 nucleotides) under Abditibacteriota bacterium. RNAcentral's name for it is "tRNA-Val". It matches the Rfam family "tRNA". Rfam says of the family: Transfer RNA (tRNA) molecules are approximately 80 nucleotides in length. Lineage: Bacteria; Pseudomonadati; Abditibacteriota. The record is from RNAcentral.
GGGCGGUUGGCUCAGCGGGAGAGCACUUCGUUCACACCGAAGGGGUCGCCGGUUCGAAUCCGGCACUGCCC